GACGAACGCUGGCGGCGUGCUUAACACAUGCAAGUCGAACGGAAAGGCCCUGCUUUUGUGGGGUGCUCGAGUGGCGAACGGGUGAGUAACACGUGAGUAACCUGCCCUUGACUUUGGGAUAACUUCAGGAAACUGGGGCUAAUACCGGAUAGGAGCUCCUGCUGCAUGGUGGGGGUUGGAAAGUUUCGGCGGUUGGGGAUGGACUCGCGGCUUAUCAGCUUGUUGGUGUGGUAGUGGCUUACCAAGGCUUUGACGGGUAGCCGGCCUGAGAGGGUGACCGGCCACAUUGGGACUGAGAUACGGCCCAGACUCCUACGGGAGGCAGCAGUGGGGAAUAUUGCACAAUGGGCUGAAGCCUGAUGCAGCAACGCCGCGUGCGGGAUGACGGCCUUCGGGUUGUAAACCGCUUUCGCCUGUGACGAAGCGUGAGUGACGGUAAUGGGUAAAGAAGCACCGGCUAACUACGUG
RNAcentral lists this ribosomal RNA (468 nucleotides) under uncultured bacterium. RNAcentral describes it as "partial 16S ribosomal RNA". It matches the Rfam family "Bacterial small subunit ribosomal RNA", at positions 28 to 507 of the family's 1533-position model. The record is from RNAcentral.